GCCGGCGUAGCUCAAUUGGUAGAGCAACUGAUUUGUAAUCAGUAGGUUGCGGGUUCGAGUCCCAUCGCCGGCUCCA
This 76-nucleotide transfer RNA is filed under the name Pelagicoccus mobilis. RNAcentral describes it as "tRNA-Thr". It matches the Rfam family "tRNA". Rfam says of the family: Transfer RNA (tRNA) molecules are approximately 80 nucleotides in length. Their secondary structure includes four short double-helical elements and three loops (D, anti-codon, and T loops). The record is from RNAcentral. RNAcentral also lists the same sequence under 7 other names. Lineage: Bacteria; Pseudomonadati; Verrucomicrobiota; Opitutia; Puniceicoccales; Pelagicoccaceae.